Molecule: ribosomal RNA, 603 nt
Filed under: uncultured fungus
Lineage: Eukaryota; Fungi
Description: eukaryotic LSU rRNA
Rfam family: Eukaryotic large subunit ribosomal RNA
Source: RNAcentral
ACCCGCUGAACUUAAGCAUAUCAAUAAGCGGAGGAAAAGAAACCAACAGGGAUUGCCCUAGUAACGGCGAGUGAAGCGGCAACAGCUCAAAUUUGAAAUCUGGCUCUUUCAGAGUCCGAGUUGUAAUUUUCAGAGGGCGCUUUGGCGUUGGCAGCGGUCCAAGUUCUUUGGAACAGGACGUCACAGAGGGUGAGAAUCCCGUACGUGGUCGCUAGCCUUCGCCGUGUAAAGCCCCUUCGACGAGUCGAAUUGUUUGGGAAUGCAGUUCUAAAUUGGAGGUAAAUUUCUUCUAAAGCUAAAUACUGGCCAGAGACCGAUAGCGCACAAGUAGAGUGAUCGAAAGAUGAAAAGCACUUUGGAAAGAGAGUCAAACAGCACGUGAAAUUGUUGAAAGGGAAGCGCUUGCAGCCAGACUUGCCUGUAGUUGCUUAUCCAGACUUUUGUCUGGUGCACUCUUCUGCGGGCAGGCCAGCAUCAGUUUGGGCGGUUGGAUAAAGGUCUCUGUCGUGUACUUCUCUUCGGGGAAGCCGUAUAGGGGAGGCGACAUGCAACCAGCCUGGACUGAGGUCCGCGCAUCUGCUAGGAUGCUGGCGUAAUGGCUGU